RNAcentral lists this long non-coding RNA (2351 nucleotides) under Homo sapiens (human). Its description in RNAcentral is "non-protein coding lnc-CGA-2:5". Lineage: Eukaryota; Metazoa; Chordata; Mammalia; Primates; Hominidae. The record is from RNAcentral.
GGCGUCCCGAUCCCGGCGUGGCUUUCCCCAGUCCACGAAGUCUUCUACGGACAUAUCCUCCUGUUCCCCAAGAGGAUGGCACAGGGAGAGUUCUGAGUGGUCUCGGGCAAUGGCUGCAUUUGCUGUUGGCCUGUAAGCAGGCCAGAAGCAGAGGAAGAGAGAGAAGGUAAAACCCGCCCAUGGACCGCAAGCGUGAGAGCCAAGGCAGGACUAUGAACUGUCAAAAUUGUCUCUGACUUCUCACCAGGCCGGAGAGGAGGGAUCUAGUGCGUGAGGGCACUACUUGGUUUGGGACAAGUCAGAGGCGAAUAAAAGCUCUUCCUGCCUUGAAGAAGCUUACAGUUUUGUGGGAAAAUGAUCUGCAAUGGGAAUACAUACGAUAUGACAAAUGUUCUAUUAUGAAAAUGCAUGCCUGUAUUCAACUUAGAACAUCAAAGUAAUCUCAGAUACUAACAAGAAUGUCCAACGAAUCUCUACAUAAGUGCAGGCUUUUUUUUUUUUUUUUUUUUUUAAUGAGAAGGAUUGAAAAUACUAUCCCGUGACAGGUCAACCUUGUCUUGGAAAUCUCAGAAAUCUCAAUCUUAUCCAUAGAAAAGUCAUGACUUCUGUGCUUAUGUCCAUUUGUUCUUUAAAUACCAAACUGUCAGCUCAUAGGAACCAUUUACACACACACACUGACACACACACAAACACGCACACCCCUACUUACUGAGAUGUUCCUGGGGAGAUUCGAAGACCUGUUCCAUUGAGAAAACAAGAAUAAGCCCCUGGGGCAAAAGACUCCGCGUCUCUGGGGAACUCAGUAUCCGCGCCGCGAGCACCCAUGCCCAUUUUGAACACAACGCGACUGCUAAGGACGUGGUGUAAUCAUAUGGACCUUCACUCCCAAGAGACUCGAUUUCAGAGAAAAUCUGGGAGACAAAUUUAGAUCCCUACCCGCACCCACGCGAUCAAUAAAGCUGGGGAGACCUUUGGGGGAGGGGACAGAUGUGCUUGCAUCCGGGCCGUGCGUGCCUGCUUCACGGGUUUUCCGGGCAGCACCGGCCCGCACACGCCGGUGCACUCUUUUUCUGGAAUUCUUGAAAUAGCCGGGCCUGAGGACAGUAAGGGAGCUGAGUUGUGUCUGCUACAGACAAGCGGCGCAGAGCCUGGGGGCCAAGCCAGGGAUGCAGGGAGCGCGGCGUUAGCGGAUGACGGAUAGCUCAGGGCUAAGGCCUGGCAGGUCCUUCCUACCCCCGACCCAGUACACCCCGCAGCCCCGCCCUCGCCCCAGCACGCGAGGUGAAAGCGCGAGGCCCGGGGAUGGCGGAGAGCGUGCGCCACUAUCGGGGCGCUGUCUCUUGCCCCGCUCUCGCCCUGGGCCGGAGAACGGAGAAGGUCCGCAGGCCUCGGGCCACGGAGGGCACCAGAUCGGUCCGCUCUGCUCCGCUAACCCAGCCUGCGCCCCUCCACCCCGCCAAGGCCCUGCUGGGCGCUGCGCCGGUUGCUCGCGUCCUCUGUUGUCGCGGAGCCGCCGCCGCCGCCGCCCGCGAACCAGCAACGCCGACACCCAGCAGUUGCAGGCCCGGCGUUUGCCGCCGCGGUUUUUCCACCCAGCACUGAGGAUCAAGCCCGCUGUAGCCUGGCUGCGACUCCCCGCUUGGGAGCAGAGGCCGCCAGGGGCCUCCAGGCCGAGAGAUUCUGGAGCCUUUCCAGGGCGCGGCGGGGAGCGGGGCCUCCGGAAACCCACCCCGGGGAUGCUGGAGUCUGUCCUGCAGAGGCCGUGGCGCGGGCACUGCUGCCUGAUUUCGAAGAGGCUCCAUCAACCUACUCUCUUCCAAAGGGCUGGGCAGCCCAGCCACAGACAGGCAGCCUCUGGAUCUCAGAAGUGAGGGACGGAGUCUAUCCUGGGUUUGGUCCAGUAGAAACCCCCCACCCCCACCCCCAGAGUCUGGGAACCAGUGCUGUGCCCACAGAUGCAAAGAGAAAGAGCAUGGGUUAAAGCGCUAUUGGGAUCGGUUAGACACCACACUUUUCCAAGGAAGACAUUUUCUUCGAGAGGAACAGCAAAAGGAGUCAAUAUAAUGUUAAAAAUAUUAAGGCAGGUGCUGUGCCACAUGUUGAAGUGAUUCCAAAAGCAGAGAAAACAUGGGACUCACAUUUAAGAGGAUUAAUUGUAGCCUUUGAGUUUUUCCCAGAAAAAAAAAAAAGGCUAGCAUAUAUAUUUUCAUAUAUUUAUAUGAACAGGUAAUUAAAUAAGGAGGGAUUUUAAAAAAUUGUCUAUUUGGAUAUCGUUUUCCUUUCCAUUUGAGGAAAAGCCAAAUGCAAAUAAGGAGAAUAAUAUUUAAAGAACAUGCUUUUAAUAGAGCCUC